GGAUCCUUCAAAGCCCAUUACAUUUUCAAACCUACAAAAGCAGUGCGUCUUGCUGAUCUUGCCUUCAGAAAGACAUUUUAUGUUUUUGCAAAAUAAAAGUUAAUUUUUGAUCUGAGGUACACUUUCAGUAUGGAAGAUAUCUGUUUGAAUGGUUGUUAGAAGCAAGGAACAAAAGCAUUUACACAGAAAUGGAAGGACAAGAUAACACUCUUGUCUGCAAAGAGCAAAACACUUGCGUGGAAGUGCAUGACCCAAGCAGAAAGUCUAGAAGCACAGCUCCAGUUCACCUGGCAUUAUGCUGCUGCUGAGCGCAAUUACAGCCACUGUAACCUAUUUACUGUUGCAUUGUGCUGCUGCAAGAAUCCUUAAAGUGUCAAUUCAACGUUCUCUUAUUGGCAGUGAUAAAGUCAUUCGUGUUGUUCCUGAGAGUGAGAGGGAGACACAGAUCCUGAAGGCUGCAUUUAACAGGCUUAAGGUUCAUUCUUUUCAUCCUAAUCAUUUGCAACUUGUUACAAUCGUCAACAAAGAAAGAGAAAUGUUUAUGAUGAGAUGGAGUGACCUGAGUAUCACAGAACUGCCCAAUCUCUGUCCUGCAGGGCUCUUCUCGUCCAUCCCCUGUCCCUCUGCCUCACAUCAUCUCCAAGGACUGCCCCUCGUCUCUCGCUCUUUCUUGUUUAGGAGACCAUCUGAGAAGCCUGAUGCUGAUUUAUGAACCUUUUCAUGGUUUUAAAUCUGUUGGACUUGACUGACAGAAACAAAUGUCACAUUCCAAACUGCUUUGCAAAGAAACAGAUUUGCUCAGGUUCUCAGAACCCACAGAUUUGGUUUAUCUGCUCUGGAAUUUUCUUUCGUAAGCAUUAUUUUUGAAGUGCCACUUCAUUCAAGCCUUGAUAACUUCUAGUCUACCAGUGGUCUAUGAGCACAUUUAAUCAUAUAUGCCUGACUGGAAUCGGUGUUGUUUGUAUAACUAGCAAAGAAGCUACUGCUCUGUGAACAUUCCUGGCAUAAUAGAGUCAGACCACUCAUUCUUCAGUAGAUUUUACAAAAGAAAUUCCUGGGCGCAGCCAAG
Molecule: long non-coding RNA, 1069 nt
Filed under: Phasianus colchicus (ring-necked pheasant)
Lineage: Eukaryota; Metazoa; Chordata; Aves; Galliformes; Phasianidae
Description: lncRNA (ENSPCLG00000019270.1)
Source: RNAcentral